UGGCGGUUUGUGAAGGCGAAUGUGGACUAUCGCAUUCAAACACAGACUCUUCAUCCUCACUAUCAUCUCCUCCUUGCUGUGAGAAAUUCACUAAGAUUCUGUGAACCGUGUCAAUGUCGAACAAAGUGUCUCCUGCAUGACGAAAAGACGGGAUCAAGAGAUCGUCAAGAGUCGCCAUAUCGAGCUGAGAACCUAACCUCCUCUCAAGAUCAAGCCUGCAGGAAACUGAAGUAUCA
This is a long non-coding RNA of Arabidopsis thaliana (thale cress), 236 nucleotides long. RefSeq annotates it as other RNA. The record is from RefSeq. The transcript has a single exon. NCBI's taxonomy places the organism in Eukaryota, Viridiplantae, Streptophyta, Magnoliopsida, Brassicales, Brassicaceae.